Molecule: ribosomal RNA, 472 nt
Filed under: Streptomyces sp.
Lineage: Bacteria; Bacillati; Actinomycetota; Actinomycetes; Kitasatosporales; Streptomycetaceae
Description: bacterial SSU rRNA
Rfam family: Bacterial small subunit ribosomal RNA
Source: RNAcentral
GCUCAGGACGAACGCUGGCGGCGUGCUUAACACAUGCAAGUCGAACGAUGAAGCCCUUCGGGGUGGAUUAGUGGCGAACGGGUGAGUAACACGUGGGCAAUCUGCCCUUCACUCUGGGACAAGCCCUGGAAACGGGGUCUAAUACCGGAUAACACUCCUGCUCUCAUGGGCAGGGGUUGAAAGCUCCGGCGGUGAAGGAUGAGCCCGCGGCCUAUCAGCUUGUUGGUGAGGUAAUGGCUCACCAAGGCGACGACGGGUAGCCGGCCUGAGAGGGCGACCGGCCACACUGGGACUGAGACACGGCCCAGACUCCUACGGGAGGCAGCAGUGGGGAAUAUUGCACAAUGGGCGAAAGCCUGAUGCAGCGACGCCGCGUGAGGGAUGACGGCCUUCGGGUUGUAAACCUCUUCAGCAGGGAAGAAGCGAAAGUGACGGUACCUGCAGAAGAAGCGCCGGCUAACUACGUGCCAGC